Molecule: unclassified non-coding RNA, 174 nt
Filed under: uncultured Pezizella
Lineage: Eukaryota; Fungi; Ascomycota; Leotiomycetes; Helotiales; Hyaloscyphaceae
Description: sequence contains ITS1
Source: RNAcentral
CAGAGUUCAUGCCCUUCGGGGUAGACCUCCCACCCUAUGUAUACAUUACCUUUGUUGCUUUGGCGGGCCGCCAUUUGGCCACCGGCCCCGGCUGGUGCGCGCCCGCCAGAGGAAAACUUUUUAAACUCUUGAAAUAAUUGGGUUGUCUGAAGUUAAUUGUACAAUAAUUAUUAA